This 116-nucleotide ribosomal RNA is filed under the name Bacillus amyloliquefaciens. RNAcentral also lists the same sequence under 3 other names. Lineage: Bacteria; Bacillati; Bacillota; Bacilli; Caryophanales; Bacillaceae. The record is from RNAcentral.
UUUGGUGGCGAUAGCGAAGAGGCCACACCCGUUCCCAUGCCGAACACGGAAGUUAAGCUCUUCAGCGCCGAUGGUAGUCGGGGGUUUCCCCCUGUGAGAGUAGGACGCCGCCAAGC